Molecule: transfer RNA, 72 nt
Filed under: Camelus dromedarius (Arabian camel)
Lineage: Eukaryota; Metazoa; Chordata; Mammalia; Artiodactyla; Camelidae
Also listed under: 1 other name
Rfam family: tRNA
About the family: Transfer RNA (tRNA) molecules are approximately 80 nucleotides in length. Their secondary structure includes four short double-helical elements and three loops (D, anti-codon, and T loops).
Source: Rfam by way of RNAcentral
GAAGGUAUAGCUCAGUGGUAGAGUGCGUGCUUAGCAUGCACAAGGUCCUGGGUUAAAUCCUAGAUGCCUCCA